AUUCAGCUGAUGAGUCCCAAAUAAGAUGAAACGCGCGUUUUAAGU
RNAcentral lists this non-coding RNA (45 nucleotides) under Schistosoma mattheei. The record is from RNAcentral. Lineage: Eukaryota; Metazoa; Platyhelminthes; Trematoda; Strigeidida; Schistosomatidae.